GUAGGUAUCGCAUAGCGGCAAUUGCUGGAGACUGUAAAUCUCUUGCCCUUCGGGGCUUCGUUGGUUCGAGUCCAACUACCUGCACCA
Molecule: transfer RNA, 87 nt
Filed under: Escherichia coli
Lineage: Bacteria; Pseudomonadati; Pseudomonadota; Gammaproteobacteria; Enterobacterales; Enterobacteriaceae
Also listed under: 7 other names
Description: tRNA-Tyr
Rfam family: tRNA
About the family: Transfer RNA (tRNA) molecules are approximately 80 nucleotides in length. Their secondary structure includes four short double-helical elements and three loops (D, anti-codon, and T loops).
Source: RNAcentral